Molecule: ribosomal RNA, 433 nt
Filed under: uncultured bacterium
Lineage: Bacteria
Description: partial 16S ribosomal RNA
Rfam family: Bacterial small subunit ribosomal RNA
Source: RNAcentral
AACGAACGCUGGCGGCAUGCCUAACACAUGCAAGUCGAACGAGACCUUCGGGUCUAGUGGCGCACGGGUGCGUAACGCGUGGGAACCUGCCCUUAGGUUCGGAAUAACUCCCCGAAAGGGGUGCUAAUACCGGAUAAUGUCUUCGGACCAAAGAUUUAUCGCCUUUGGAUGGGCCCGCGUUGGAUUAGCUAGUUGGUAGGGUAAAAGCCUACCAAGGCGACGAUCCAUAGCUGGUCUGAGAGGAUGAUCAGCCACACUGGGACUGAGACACGGCCCAGACUCCUACGGAAGGCAGCAGUGGGGAAUAUUGGACAAUGGACGAAAGCCUGAUACAGCAAUGCCGCGUGAGUGAUGAAGGCCUUAGGGUUGUAAAGCUCUUUUAGCCGGGAUGAUAAUGACAGUACCGGGAGAAUAAGCUCCGGCUAACUACGUG